Nicotiana attenuata is the source of this 95-nucleotide microRNA precursor. It matches the Rfam family "MIR6152 microRNA precursor family". The record is from Rfam. Lineage: Eukaryota; Viridiplantae; Streptophyta; Magnoliopsida; Solanales; Solanaceae.
UGGACAGAUUAUUGUAUGUCGACUGUAUUCACGGAUGAAAUAGGGGAUUAGACUUUUAUUAAAGGGAAGUGAAUCAAUUUAACAUAUAGACUCCU